AUAUCUGUUCCCGUACGACCACCAAAGUUAAGCAGCGUCGAGCCCGGUCAGCACCUAGAUGGGUGACCGCUUAGGAAUGCUAGGUGCUGUAAG
Molecule: non-coding RNA, 93 nt
Organism: Acanthosepion pharaonis
Lineage: Eukaryota; Metazoa; Mollusca; Cephalopoda; Sepiida; Sepiidae
Source: the annotation of a GenBank genome assembly